AGUAACGCGUGGGUAACCUGCCUCAUACAGGGGGAUAACAGUCAGAAAUGACUGCUAAUACCGCAUAAGACCACAGCACCGCAUGGUGCAGGGGUAAAAACUCCGGUGGUACAGGAUGGACCCGCGUCUGAUUAGCUGGUUGGUGAGGUAACGGCUCACCAAGGCGACGAUCAGUAGCCGGCUUGAGAGAGUGAACGGCCACAUUGGGACUGAGACACGGCCCAA
RNAcentral lists this ribosomal RNA (225 nucleotides) under uncultured bacterium. Its description in RNAcentral is "partial 16S ribosomal RNA". It matches the Rfam family "Bacterial small subunit ribosomal RNA", at positions 109 to 334 of the family's 1533-position model. The record is from RNAcentral.